UCGAGCGGAACGAGUUAACUGAACCUUCGGGGGACGUUAACGGCGUCGAGCGGCGGACGGGUGAGUAAUGCCUAGGAAAUUGCCCUGAUGUGGGGGAUAACCAUUGGAAACGAUGGCUAAUACCGCAUGAUGCCUACGGGCCAAAGAGGGGGACCUUCGGGCCUCUCGCGUCAGGAUAUGCCUAGGUGGGAUUAGCUAGUUGGUGAGGUAAGGGCUCACCAAGGCGACGAUCCCUAGCUGGUCUGAGAGGAUGAUCAGCCACACUGGAACUGAGACACGGUCCAGACUCCUACGGGAGGCAGCAGUGGGGAAUAUUGCACAAUGGGCGCAAGCCUGAUGCAGCCAUGCCGCGUGUGUGAAGAAGGCCUUCGGGUUGUAAAGCACUUUCAGUCGUGAGGAAGGUAGUGUAGUUAAUAGCUGCAUUAUUUGACGUUAGCGACAGAAGAAGCACCGGCUAACUCCGUGCCAGCAGCCGCGGUAAUACGGAGGGUGCGAGCGUUAAUCGGAAUUACUGGGCGUAAAGCGCAUGCAGGUGGUUUGUUAAGUCAGAUGUGAAAGCCCGGGGCUCAACCUCGGAAUAGCAUUUGAAACUGGCAGACUAGAGUACUGUAGAGGGGGGUAGAAUUUCAGGUGUAGCGGUGAAAUGCGUAGAGAUCUGAAGGAAUACCGGUGGCGAAGGCGGCCCCCUGGACAGAUACUGACACUCAGAUGCGAAAGCGUGGGGAGCAAACAGGAUUAGAUACCCUGGUAGUCCACGCCGUAAACGAUGUCUACUUGGAGGUUGUGGCCUUGAGCCGUGGCUUUCGGAGCUAACGCGUUAAGUAGACCGCCUGGGGAGUACGGUCGCAAGAUUAAAACUCAAAUGAAUUGACGGGGGCCCGCACAAGCGGUGGAGCAUGUGGUUUAAUUCGAUGCAACGCGAAGAACCUUACCUACUCUUGACAUCCAGAGAACUUUCCAGAGAUGGAUUGGUGCCUUCGGGAACUCUGAGACAGGUGCUGCAUGGCUGUCGUCAGCUCGUGUUGUGAAAUGUUGGGUUAAGUCCCGCAACGAGCGCAACCCUUAUCCUUGUUUGCCAGCGAGUAAUGUCGGGAACUCCAGGGAGACUGCCGGUGAUAAACCGGAGGAAGGUGGGGACGACGUCAAGUCAUCAUGGCCCUUACGAGUAGGGCUACACACGUGCUACAAUGGCGCAUACAGAGGGCGGCCAACUUGCGAAAGUGAGCGAAUCCCAAAAAGUGCGUCGUAGUCCGGAUUGGAGUCUGCAACUCGACUCCAUGAAGUCGGAAUCGCUAGUAAUCGUGGAUCAGAAUGCCACGGUGAAUACGUUCCCGGGCCUUGUACACACCGCCCGUCACACCAUGGGAGUGGGCUGCAAAAGAAGUAGGUAGUUUAACCUU
This 1400-nucleotide ribosomal RNA is filed under the name Vibrio navarrensis. RNAcentral describes it as "bacterial SSU rRNA". It matches the Rfam family "Bacterial small subunit ribosomal RNA". Lineage: Bacteria; Pseudomonadati; Pseudomonadota; Gammaproteobacteria; Vibrionales; Vibrionaceae. The record is from RNAcentral.